UGGGGAAUAUUGCACAAUGGGGGAAACCCUGAUGCAGCGACGCCGCGUGGAGGAUGACGGCCUUCGGGUUGUAAACUCCUUUUGUCAGGGACAAUGGUGAUGGUACCUGACGAAUAAGCCACGGCUAACUCUGUGCCAGCAGCCGCGGUAAGACAGAGGUGGCGAGCGUUGUUCGGAAUUACUGGGCUUAAAGGGCGCGUAGGCGGUGGUGUAAGUCUGGGGUGGAAUGCUACAGCUCAACUGUAGAGCUGCCGUGGGAACUGCAUUACUUGAGGCGGUGAGAGGAUGGCGGAAGUCCUGGUGUAGCGAUGACAUGCGUAAGUAUCAGGAGGAAGGUCUGUGGGGAAAGCGGCCUGCUGGCACUUGACUG
Molecule: ribosomal RNA, 370 nt
Filed under: uncultured bacterium
Lineage: Bacteria
Description: bacterial SSU rRNA
Rfam family: Bacterial small subunit ribosomal RNA
Source: RNAcentral